This 212-nucleotide long non-coding RNA is filed under the name Capsicum annuum. RNAcentral's name for it is "long non-coding RNA (CANN_LNC001147)". Lineage: Eukaryota; Viridiplantae; Streptophyta; Magnoliopsida; Solanales; Solanaceae. The record is from RNAcentral.
UGGUCUUUGGUACAUGGGAUUUGGCAUUUGGUAAGUGAUAUUUUGUAGAGGUCUUUGGUUUAGAUUUGGUGGUGGAGUUUGAGUUCGAAGUCUCUCUUGUUGGACUUGGUUCAUUUGGUGAGUUAUUGGCCUUUGUAGGGUCCGGUUAGGAGAGGUUUGGGAUUCGUUUAGUGGCUGGUUUUGUGGAACUCUUGGAGGAUUAAGCAUUUGGU